This 12067-nucleotide long non-coding RNA is filed under the name Trifolium pratense (red clover). Its description in RNAcentral is "long non-coding RNA (TPRA_LNC000437)". Lineage: Eukaryota; Viridiplantae; Streptophyta; Magnoliopsida; Fabales; Fabaceae. The record is from RNAcentral.
GUCACUAGGACAUUUUUGUGUGGUUGAAGGAGGUGGGGUACUAGCCUGAGGUGGAGGACUAGCAUUUGGUGUUGUUGAAGGUGGUGGAGAGCUAGCAUUAGGUGUUGUUGAUGGUGGUGGAGGACUAGCAUUUGGUGUUGUUGAAGGUGGUGGAGGGCUAGCAUUAGGUGUUGAAGGUGGUGGGGUACUAGCCUUAGGUGGAGGGCUAGCAUUAGGUGUUGUUGAAGGUGGUGGAGGACUAGCCUUAGGUGUUUUUGAUGGUGGUGGAGGGCUAGCAUUAGGUGUUGAAGGUGGUGGGGUACUAGCCUUAGGUGGAGGGCUAGNNNNNNNNNNNNNNNNNNNNNNNNNNNNNNNNNNNNNNNNNNNUUGAUGGUGGUGGAGGACUGGCCUUAGGUGUUUUUGAAGGUGGUGGGGUACUAGCCUUAGGUGGAGGGCUAGCAUUAGGUGUUGUUGAAUAUGGAGGAGGACUAGCCUUAGGUGUUGUUGAUGGUGGUGGAGGACAAGGUGAAGGUGGUGGAGGGCUAGGCUUAGGUGUUGGAUGAGAGAAUGCUGAAUAAGCAAGGAGAGAAAACAAUAUAAUGAGUGCACUAAGUUUGUUGGAAGCCAUUGUUAAGAAAUGAAGACUAAUGUUUUUGUGUGUUUUGAUGUUUGAAUAAUAGAAUGAGAAACAAAGGGGGAAUUGGAUCACUUUUAUAGGCAAUUGUUUUUUAGUGUUGUUAAUUUUUUCCUACUAGACUUCUAGAAUGUCUCAUAACUAAGUCAAACCAUAUUAUAGAACAAUUGCUAUUAAUAUUAAUUUGUUAAAGUCAAAUUUACAUUAGAUAUUUUUUAUCUUAUUUAUUUGUAACACUUUAGUUAUUUAUAUAUAUCUUUUUAUCAUUUAAACUUUUUAUUUUUUAUAACAUGCACAUAUAAAUUAUUUUUCAUAUUUUUUUAUUAAAAAAAUGCAUAAUUUUAUUUUUCAAUUUUUUUAUUAGAAUUAAACAAAACCAUAAUUUUGACAAACAUCGUUCAUUAUCUUCAUUAAUAUCUUUGUAUCUCUAAUAUUUGAUUUCUGCCAUUAAGAAGAUACCAACAACAACAACAAUGUUUUGCUUUUUGAAUUUUGAAUUUUUUGUUUUUGUUUAAAGAAGAUAAAAAUAUGAAUAUAUUGAUGAAAAUGAUGAAUGAUUUUCAUCAAAAUUUUGAGUUUGUUUAAUUUUAAUUAAAAAAAUAGAAAAAAAAAUUAUAUGUGCGCAUCAUAAAAGAUAAAUGUCCUAUAUUAUCUUUACAUCAAUACUUGAUAAAAUUAUUUUGACAAGUAUUAUUUUUUGUCUAAUAGUCUAGUGGCUACAAAUUUCACUUUAAAAGUGAAUAAAUGGGUCCGGGUUUUGAACUCAUGCUCGUGCAUAAAAUAUGCGAUGUCCUUACCAACUGAAUUAAGCUCACAUAGACUAAAAUUAUUAUCUUUAUUUCAUUUAUAAACAUUUUCUUAACAUGUGUGAAAUAAGUGCGGAGGAAGAAAUAGUAGAGAGAUCUCUCCUUAUAGUGGCGUAUGCAAGAGUUUAAUUAUUUGUAAGAUUUAAUUAUAGAGGUUUGAUUAAUGAAAUGUACUCUUCAUUUUAAACUAUUCUUAUUCUACAUUGUUGGGGAGCAUGAAUAGGCAAAAUUUAGUGUUAUACGCUUGAAAAAUAUGAACAAUACUCUUAUAUAGUGAUUUGAGAAGAGAGUGUAAAGAGAAGAGGAAAAAAAGAAAGAAAGGUAUGUAUGAACAAUGUAUAAUGUAAUAUUUUUGUCUAAAUAAAUGUGUUCAUAUAACAUUUUUGUUCUUCAAAUUAGUUAAUAGUUGGUAUCAGAGUGAAGUUUAAUUUAAAGUGGUCGACUUGAGUAAACAAUCUCUAAUGUGAUAUAGUUGCAUGGAUGAUCUCACCGCGUGAAAAAGAUAUAGUUGUGUAGCACAAGAUUAGAGUACAUGCCUGGCAUGUGUCUCAAGCUAUAGCUAGCAAGACACAACCCACCUGUUUUUGUUGUGUGUGACUUAAAUUCUAUAGUUCCAAUAUGUUUCGAGUGCCUGGCGUCUUGAUCCCAACUGUGAGGAACUUCAUGUCGCGCACGAGGCGCUUCAGGGGGCGUGUGCGCCUCAUGGCGAGGCGCUUCACUAAAAUCAUGUUUAAUUAAUAAGAGGAAUUCAAUUUCAAUACUUCCAACCCUAAAAUCAAAUAUAGAUUGACUUUUUAGAUAAAUUAGGAGCAUUAUGAGACAUCAUAGUGACUAGUAGACAUCAAAGAGACAGCUAGUAGCAUUAAUCUUAUACCUCUAAAUACAGAAUGACUAGUUAAACAAAAGAUGAAAAAAAUGUAGUAGCGAAACAGAGUUAGGAAAAAGAUAAGGAAUUACACACAUAUUGACAAGUUGUUUUUUCUGACAAAAUACACGUUGACAAUUUGUGAUUGUGAUAUUUUGCAUGUUGUUUUCAGCCUAUUACGUUAAAAUUAUAAUUAGAAAAUGGGGUACGUAGAUCGAGUUUGUCUUUGUUUCAUUUCAUCCUUGUUACUAGGUUGUUAACAUGAAUUAUUGAAAUCAAUACACAUUCCUAGAAUUCUUAUGUCGGUAUAUGCAUGGUUACAAUUGCAGUGGCUAUAGCAAAGUCAGCACAUCCUUUAGAAGGUGACGGAUGUAAGAGUCAAAGUAAAUAAAUAUGAUUUUAUUAUUAUUAAAACAAAAUCCACCGCAAUUAAAAUUGCAUAAAGGUCUUAGUUGGCUAACGAACUAGAAGACAAUGAAAGAGGAUUAAUCAAAGAGUAUUUUAAUUAAGAUAUGAAUGUUGCCUAUACAAAUAUUAGCUAUAAUAAAUGUCGAUAUUCGACUAAACUCAACGAUGGUGUGUGUUUCUGUUUCCUAAUUGUUGAUGCUUGUACAUUGCAUUGCACCCCUAUAUAUUUUGCGGCGUUUUCUGGUAGUUUGUCCAUGCAACACAUCCUCUCAAAUCAUAUAUAUACUCCCUCCGGCCUCAUAUAUAAGCAAAAGUGACUUUUUUAAAUCCAUUGAAAAAUGAAUGUAUUUAGUCUAAAAUAUAGACCAAAUACAUCACUUUUUCAAUGAAUCCAAAAAAGCUAUUUUUGUAUACAUAUGAGGCCGGAGGAAAUACUAUUUCUAUCAACAAAUAAACACAAUAAUAAAACAAUAUGCAAUUAAAAUGAAAUUCCCUCACCUUGCAAGAACUUGCGAGGUGCAAACAAAUACAUGGCAACAAACAUAAUAAAUUGUCUCCAUGACCAUAGUUUAUUUGGCAGUAACAUCACACUAUAUAUGCAAAUUAAACUUGGAGUUCAAAUUUCAAACCACUACUAAAAACAGGCUUAUUAGUGCGAGUCUUUAAGUGGAGGUUUUAUAAAACCCCCGAAAAUUAGGAGAGAAUAUAAAAUACGAAAAACAAUUUCACUCAAUGCACUCUUGAAGAUUUUUUUAACAUUAGACUUAUUCACUUUUAAAAGUAAAAUUCUAGUCACUAGACUAAAAAACAAUAAAUCUGAUGCACAAGGGACACCAAGAUUUUGACAUGGAAACCUUGCAACGUCGACCCCCAAAAGUAAUGAUAAAAAAGCUAAAACCCCCUCCGUUCCUAAUCUUGAGUUCUUCUAUCUUUUUAUUUUUAUCCUAAAAUAAUGUUCUUUUAAUAAAUCAAUGUACAAUUAAUUAUGUUUUACUAUUUGUACCCUUACAGAAACAAAAUACAUUCAUUAAAUAAAUUAUAUUUUUUCUUAAUAAAUUAAGGGUAAAAAUGACUUAACUUAUUCAAAUUUAUUAUUUCUUAAUUGAUAUACCAAACUCUAAAAGAACCAAAUAUUAGAGAUAAAGAGAAUACUAUAUACAUCAUUCACUAAAUUUUACUCUUUGUUGGGAGGUGAACAUUUUUUUUUUGAACUGCUAAAUUUUAUUAAUAAUGCAACUGAGCCCAAGACAAGCAUGGUACACAUACAAGUACAUCACAAAGGAAGAAAAAUAAACUAGUGAAAACAUCUAAUCCACCAAUACUCGUUACAUGCGCUUAAAUUAAAAAUCCCUGAACAAACUACUUCAAAAGUACAACAAAAUCAAAAUAACAGCAUACCAACGCCUCCACCCAUCCUCCUCAACAUAAACCUCAUCGCAUCAGCCACAACCGAAACGACAUUCUCGAAGCCAAACAAGAUUCGCUGCACCAAACACCAAAACCAAAACCUUUGAAAGACACCAACACCAACACUAACACCAAAACCUUUGAAUGACCCGAAUCGAGACAAUAAGCCAAACCCUUUGGAAUAUCAGCAGUGAUUACAAUAAAGGACGGAAUUGGAUUAAAAUUAUGUUCUCAUAUAUACAUUUGUGUGUUGAGCCGAUGAUGGAUAAGAUCCGAUUCAUUUCUUUCUUAAAAAUGGUUUUGGGUAAGAAAGUCAGGAUCUUCACGUACCUUUUACGAGGAACACUUUCUAUGCAAGUGCUAAUGUUUUAUUUCAUAUCUUUUUCUUGUUGCUUUCAUUUGGUGGACUUUCUGUUGUGUCACAUCUUCUCUCGAUAUAUAUACUUUUAUUUUGGGUUUGCCUCUUGUUUUAUUGGAUUGGAAAUACCCUGGGGGUCCUUUUAUUUUUCUUUAUAUUCAAGUUUUAUACCAAAAAUACACAAUUGUCACCCGUUUCAUUUUCAUCCAUAUGAUAGUUGUCUAUAAAUCAAAUAUUAAUGUGGUAAAUGUUUCUGUAACCAUAAAAAUAAAAUAAAAGUGGUGAAUGUUUCUUUUGGAGCUACCGUAUCGUUGUAUUCUUAAUCAUUAAAUAAAAGUGUUUAUAUAUUUAAUAAUUACUUCUCUUAUAUAUCUUUUUCACCUUCUAUUUAUUUUAUUAUCAUUAACUCUUGGUUNNNNNNNNNNNNNNNNNNNNAGUGACAAGCAAUCAUAAAAUGAAACUUUGCCAAAUUUAUUAAAAUUCAAAGAACAAGUUACUAAAUGAGGCAAACAUGCUUACCCCAUUUUUAAAAUGAUAUAAAUGCCACACACAAAUAGAUAUAGUGCGUAAAUAUUGACGAUGAGUUUAGCAGAAUUACGGUAAUAAUGUAAUUUUGACGAAAAUCACACUUUAAAGUUUCAACAAAAUUAUAAUAUCACUGAUCGUGCACACAAAUAAUAGUAAGUAUGGCUUGAACCUUUGAUAUGAAAUUCUAAGAACAUUGGAAACCAGAAGGAACAGAUUUUUCACAAGCACUAAGUAGAAGACUUAGUGUGACAGGUACAUCCAAGUUGAUACCAAGAAUAUUAGCCUUAAUAGCAGUACAAAGACAAAGUGCUGCAUCCAAAUCAGCCAAACCUUGAAUCAAUGCACAACACUUGCUUGAAGCAGGACUUCCAACAAUAACAUUAACAAGUCCUAAAACAUCAGCACAAACACCUAGUUUUAAUGUGUCACUAGGACAUUUUUGUGUUGUUGAAGGAGGUGGAGCACUAGCCUUAGGUGGAGGACUAGCAUUUGGAGUUGUUGAAGGUGGUGGAGUACUAACCUUAGGUGGAGGACUAGCAUUGGGUGUUGGUGGUGGAUUACUAGCCUUAGGUGGAGGGCUAGCAUGUGGUGGAGGAUGUGUUUUUGAUGGUGGUGGAGGACAAGGUGAAGGUGGUGGAGGGCUAGGCUUCGGUGUUGGAGGUGGUUUGCAUGAACCACAAGCAUGAGAGAAUGUUGAAUAAGCAAGGAGGGAAAACAAUAUAAUGAGUGCACUAAGCUUGUUGGAAGCCAUUUUUACACUAAUGUUUUGUGUGUUCUGAUGUUGAAUAANNNNNNNNNNNNNNNNNNNNNNNNNNNNNNNNNNNNNNNNNNNNNNNNNNNNNNNNNNNNNNNNNNNNNNNNNNNNNNNNNNNNNNNNNNNNNNNNNNNNNNNNNNNNNNNNNNNNNNNNNNNNNNNNNNNNNNNNNNNNNNNNNNNNNNNNNNNNNNNNNNNNNNNNNNNNNNNNNNNNNNNNNNNNNNNNNNNNNNNNNNNNNNNNNNNNNNNNNNNNNNNNNNNNNNNNNNNNNNNNNNNNNNNNNNNNNNNNNNNNNNNNNNNNNNNNNNNNNNNCUUAACAAUGGAAGAUUGCUGGAAAUCUUCAUCAAUCCCUUUAACUUCUUCAAGUUUCGAUGGUUGUGGUGCUUCGAUGCUGUUCACUGAUGAACAACCCUGUCUAGGUACACACAUGUGGGUAGACAGCAUAUUGCUAUUUGGGGUUGAUGGUUUCUGAGAAAAUUUUGUAUCAACUUCCUUGUCCAUCUCUAUCACUUUGAAUCUGAUCCUUUUAUGCUUCAAUGCGUGAUCAAUAGUAAAAGGUUCAUCACAUACAAAACAUAAACCCAAUUCCAUCUUCUCCUCCACAUCGAGAGCACUCAAAAUUUUCACCAAAUUAUGUUUUGAACCCAUNNNNACGGGUAAAUAGAUUCUAGGGACGAAACCGAUAGAAUCGAGUCUUAAAGUAGGAAUUCUAAUGAAUUGAGUAGAAUUCGGUACAAAUGAGAUUAUGCAAACAUGAGAGAGUUUUGAUUCUUGAGAAGAAGAUAAUUUGUUGAAUAUUAAUUGAUUUCUUUCAAAUGAGGCACAAGAUCUUUAAAUACAACUCUCAGGGCUAAAAGAGUAAAUAACAUAAAAUAAACUAUUUAUUUAAAAUAAACUAUUAAACUAUACUUAAUUCAUAAAGUGUUCAACCUCCACUUUUCUAAGUAAUGUGGGAUUUAACCACUCACACUUACCACAACUAUCUCCCACUCAAGUGUGAGUCCAUCCAUUCUUGGAUAUGCUCCCCGGCCCUCAAGCAGAAGCUUUCUUCAUCCUACACUUGUACCACUGUAAGCCACAUUGCUCGACGGGACUCGCCGCCUGACCACCUUUGUCAAGAAGACUUUCGAUACAUGGAGCCAGUUCAACCCUUUGUCGAUCCAUCGACUCUAAUACCAUUGUUGGGUCAUUACGAGGGGACAACCGGUGGAUCAUCCCCAUUGGGUUCAAGAACAACUUCACAUGUGAGUUGGACACCACACUUUUAUAGGCGCACACAUAAAUGAUAAAAAGUAAAUCAUAAAUAUAAUUUAUUCACAUCAAUUGACGACAUUGACUAUUUGAGUUUUGUAUGUGUGCCCAAAUUUAAAUAGUUCGUGGUUGUGCCCAUAAAAGUGUUCCGGCCUCCAUAUUAUUUUAGAAAAUUUGAUUGAACUUUCUAAAUAAUCUUUCCAAAAAAUGACCCAAGAACAUGGUCAUUAUAUUCUUAUCCCUAAAAUAUUGUGUAACUUAUUUCAUAAUUUUUUUUAUCAUCAAAUAUAUAAACAUGUAUACAGUAAAUGAGAAUAUCAAAAUCAUAAAAUUUAUCGUAAUAGUUGCACCUAAUUUUGCAAGAAUCAAAAUAAUCAAAUUACUCGGGUCUAAAAUUGCAAAACAAACUUGCAAACGGCAAAACAGAAUAACAAGAGUUGCAAGACUCUAAGUUAACUAAAGUUAUGGCUCACUAAAGUUAUGGCUCACAAAAUAACAAGGUUGAUGCAAUUUACCAGUUUAUACUAAUAAUAUGAAUGCAGCUGUGAGUUUGUUUACAAUAUUUUAUUUUUUUUAGCAAUUUUAAUUUUAUAUUAUAUCAAUGUAAUCUAUUAAUCUAAAUGAAUAUUUGAAAUAACAGAAGUGCAAGACACUCUAAAUUAACUAAAGUUAUAUUUUACAAAAUAACAAGGUUUAAGAUUGAGAUAUGUUACGACAAAAAGUGAAAAAAAUUAUUGGAUUUAGAAUAAAAAAAAAAAUUUAAUGAGCUGAACAAACUUUUAUUUACAAUAAAAUAUUAGUGUUUUUUUAUAAAAAAAAAAAAAUUAGUUUUGUUAGUAAUUAUGUUGGGAGUGAUUUUCAAACACUCAACCAAUUCCUUACCACUCCACUUCUCAACUCUACAAUAUCUUCAAGCCAUCAUAUUCUAUCCCCUAUCAAAUCAAAAUACAAAAUAUAUGCACAGUUAGGAAAAUGAUUAGGAAUUAGAUGUUGAUGUUUGAAGUGUGAAUUGAGUUUAUAUCAGAUCAAAAAGUAGACGUUAUGAUCCAUGAAACUAAUAAUACCUUAAGGUUUUCCGUUAAUUAUGAUGUGUUGUCUAACUCACUUGUGUAGUUGUUCAAGACCCGAUAUGAUGAUCCUUAAACCCCCUCGUGACCCAUGCAACAAUAGUAUCAGAGUUAAUGGUUUGACGAAGGGUUCGAUCGACUCUAGCUUGUAUGUCUUCCUAACAAAGGUGGUCAGACAACAUGUCCGUUGAGUGCCACAACUGCGGUGCAAGUGUAUGGAUGAAAAAAAUUCCGUUUGAGGGAGAACAUGCCCAUAAAAAAAUGGAUGGACUCACACUUGAGGGGAAAAUUGUUGGUAUUUCAAGUGUGAGUUGAGUCUCAUAUCAAAUGUAGUGAAUUUUGAACAUUUUAUUAGUGAAAUGACCCAUGAACGUAAUGCCUUAAAGUUUGAGUUAAGAUGUGGUGUUCAAUUCGUUGAAGACCUAUAUGAUCUCGAAUCCCCUAGUAACCCAACAUUAGAUACAUAUUGACAAGUUGUUUCUUCUUGACAAAACACACAUCUAGUUGUGAAUGGGAUAUUUUUUUGCAAGUUGUUUAAUACGUUAAAUUAUAUUGAGAAACUGGGGUAUAGAGUUUGCCUUGUUUCAUACCCAUUACUAGGUUGUUAACAUGAAUUAAAUUGAAAUCCAAAAUAGGAAAAUUUUGUGCAGUAUAACACACGCACAAGUUCAUAUGCCUACAAAUUUUGAGUCGGCUAGGCUCCGAUUGCAGUGACUAUAGGGCAAGUUCAACAUCCUUUAGAAGGUGAGAGAUCAUAAGAGUCAAUGAUGUAAAUAGGAUUAUUUAAUUAUUAGAACAAAAUCAACAAUAUACAAUUAAACUUGCUUUCAUUCAUAUAUUUGUUAGAAUUAUUGGUUCAAACACGCGUUCUUACAUGUGUUUUCCUUUCACUUCUGACCUAAGUAAUAAUUAAUUUUUAAUAAAUUUCUUUUUUUUUAUAAGCAAAAUAUAUUAUAAUGGAGUAUAAGGGGUACUUGAACCCUUAUAAUUCAAAGUCAGAAGUUAAAUGCUUUGAAUACAUCCCAAAGGGUCAUGACACCAGUCCUUAAAUGAUAAAUUAGAGUUUCGGCCAUACCGACUACUAAACCAAACCCACGAACUGAAUUUAAUGUCAUCCACAAGAAGAAGAGCAUUUGGAAAAGCUCCCUUGAAAAUCACACUAUUUCUAAGCUUCCAUAUGUUCCAAGAAGUUGCCAGCCAAAUCAAAUGUUUAACCCGUCCACCCUUCUUUGAUUUUACCAUGUCACCAAAUAGCGCAAAAUGAUUCCAACCUUUUUUAUUCGGUGGAAGUCUCUUUCCUAUCCACUUAAAAAUCGCUUCCCAAAUUCGUUUGCUAAACGGACAGAGGAAAAAAAGAUGGUUGCAAUCCUCAUUAUCAAGAAAGCAAAAAACACAAGAUAACUCAUGCACGUUAAUAAGGAUACCUCUGUAAAAAAAUAGUGAGAGAAUUUAAGAUAUUAAGUCAAACUCUCAAUUCUAAGACGGUAUCAGAGUCUCUCGAAUAUUCAUUGAGUUUAAUAGUAUUGGGCGUAAGAGGGGUAUGUAAGGUGAGGCAAUUUCAUCCAUCUCACUUCCGAUGUGGACUUCUUAACCGUUGUCAUAGGGCACGUGUUUAGUGCGACAAAAAGUGAGUGUCAAGUAAGGUGGAAUUCAGUUGCAUUGUAAUAGUCAAGAGUGUCAUAUAUUUAUUUUACAAAUAAUCAAGUGUAUCACACCAAAACCAAACAUAUUAAUGUGGUUUUUCACAAGAUCAAGGAGAUGAUAUGAUUUUUUAUGUUUUUUUAAUGCGGAAUUUGAUAAGAUAUAUUUUUAAGGUUUCUAAAAGAAGGUGAAGAAUAAUUAAGUAGUACAGAAAGAUAAUUAGAAACAGGAUAAGAACUAGCUAGAUAUUUAUCGACAAGUUUUUUAUUUUUGUUGACAAAUUACACAUUGUCAAGUUGUUUUCAGCCUAUUACGUUAAAACUAUAAUUAGAAACUGGGGUAUAGAAUUUGCCUUGUUUCAUACCCAUUAGUAAGUUGUUAACAUGCAUUAUUGAAAUAAAAAAUAUAUAAGAAAUUUUGUCAGCAACACAUCCAAGAGUCCGAUUGCAUUGACAAUAUGGCAAGGUCAGCAUAUAUAUAUCCUUUAGAAGGUGACAGAUCUAAGAGUCAAUGUAAAAAUCAUUUGUUGAUUAUUAAAACAAAAUCAAUCACUAUUAUACUUGCUUUACUUUUUUUUUGAAGUCGUUUUAAUCUCCUCCCGAUUGCGUAUANNNNNNNNNNNNNNNNNNNNNNNNNNNNNNNNNNNNNNNNNNNNNNNNNNNNNNNNNNNNNNNNNNNNNNNNNNNNNNNNNNNNNNNNNNNNNNNNNNNNNAAAACGUUAUUGAGAGGUGUAACAUUUGGUGUCAAACUAGUUGGUGUCAACGGAUCCUGACUCUAUAUAUAUAUAUAUAUAAAUUAAAGACUUACUCAAACGAAUAUGAGUUACAAUACCCAUGUAUAUAAGUUUGGUGUUAAUGGUUCAUUCAAUGAAUUUUCAAUUUUAUAUAUAAAGGUCAUACAAUGUUCACAUAAUUAUAUUAAGUAGAAUAAUAAUUAAAAUAACACAUUAUAAGAGUAAUUACAUUUAACCAUAAAUAUCUUCAUUGUGCAAUAUCAUAUACUCGAUAGAAGUAUCAAUAUUAUACUUAUAUUUGUCUAUUAUGAACUUACAAAAUGUGAAAUUUGGGUGAAACACUAGCAUAAUAUAAUUUCGAGUGAUGGUCGGAAUAGCGAUCAGAGUUGUAGUCGGUGGUGACAACUGAUGGUGGUGGUUUUCAAUGGUCAAAGUGGUAGUCAGAGUGGUGAUGGGUGAUGGUGUAAUUGGUAAUAUGGUCAAACUGAUUAUCAAAAGUGAAUAGAAUAUUGAUCAACACUGAUCAAAUUAAUGGUCGAGAGUAAUCAAAGUGGUGGUUGACGAUAGUCGAUGGCGGUCCACGGAGUGGUGGUUUAAUGUGGGGUUUGGUUUUUAACAAUUGGUUUAGGAAUUAUAUCAUCGAGUUCCACAAGCAACUUACAUGCUCUACUCCAAUUCUCACAACUUCAUUAUACCAAUAAAACAAAAUACAAUAAUUCAUACAUUUACAAAUUUAAAUAUGAUCACAAGCAUAAUCAUGAAAUGAAAGGUCACCAAAUUUAUUAAAAUUUAAAGAACAAGUUGCUAAAUGAGGCAAACAGGCUUACCCCAUUAUUAAAAUUACACACAUCUCACGCAUAAAUAAAUAUAGUGCAUAUUUUCAAUUAAAGUAUGAAUUUAGCAAAAUCACAUUGACACACUUCGAUUUUGUCAAAAGUCACACUUUGUAACUCCAACAAAAUCAUAGUAUCCCUAUAAUUUAGUUAAAGUCAUUGUAAUUCCAAUUGUGCACACAAACAAUAACUGAAAUAAAAUUAAGUACCCGUGACCCUUGUAGAAACAUAAGUACUAAGCAUAUGGCUUUGAAGUACUUUUGACAUGAUCAAAUUCUAAGAACAUUGGAAACCAGAAGGAACGGAUUUUUCACAAGCACUAAGUAAGAGACUUAAUGUGAUAGGAACAUUCAAAUUGAUACCAAGAACAUUAGCCUUAAUAGCAGUACAAAGACAAAGUGCUGCAUCCAAAUCAGCCAAACCUUGAAUCAAUGCACAACACUUGCUUGAAGCAGGACUUCCAACAAUAAUAUUACCAAGUCCUAAAAGAUUAGCACAAACACCUAGUUUUAAUGUGUCCCUAGGACAUUUUUGUGUGGUUGAAGGAGGUGGGGUACUACCCUUAGGUGGAGUAGUAGCCUUGGGUGGAGGACUAGGUUUAGGUGUUGUUGAAUGUGGUGGUGGACUAGCCUUAGGUGUUUUUGGUGGUGGUGGAGGACAAGGUGUAGGUGGUGGAGGGCUAGGCUUAGGUUUUGGAGAUGGAGUUGGUUUGCAUGUACCACAAGCAUGAGAAAAUGUUGAAUAAGCAAGAAGAGAAAACAAUAUAAUUAGUGCACUAAGCUUGUUGGAAGCCAUUUUUAC